This 495-nucleotide ribosomal RNA is filed under the name uncultured bacterium. Its description in RNAcentral is "partial 16S ribosomal RNA". It matches the Rfam family "Bacterial small subunit ribosomal RNA", at positions 30 to 523 of the family's 1533-position model. The record is from RNAcentral.
AUUGAACGCUGGCGGAAUGCUUUACACAUGCAAGUCGAACGGCAGCACGGACUUCGGUCUGGUGGCGAGUGGCGAACGGGUGAGUAAUACAUCGGAACGUGCCCAGUCGUGGGGGAUAACGUGGCGAAAGCUACGCUAAUACCGCAUACGAUCUAAGGAUGAAAGCGGGGGACCGUAAGGCCUUCCGCGAUUGGGGCGGCCGAUGGCAGAUUAGGUAGUUGGUGGGGUAAAGGCCCACCAAGCCGACGAUCUGUAGCUGUUCUGAGAGGAAGCUCCCCCACACUGGUACUGAGACACGGACCAGACUCCUACGGGAGGCAGCAGUGAGGAAUAUUGGUCAAUGGACGGAAGUCUGAACCAGCCAUACCGCGUGUAGGAUGAAGGUUCUAUGGAUUGUAAACUACUUUUGUAUUGGAAUAAAAAGGUCAUUCGUUGACAAAUUGCAUGUACAAUACGAAUAAGCACCGGCUAACUCCGUGCCAGCAGCCGCAGUAA